RNAcentral lists this ribosomal RNA (422 nucleotides) under uncultured archaeon. RNAcentral's name for it is "partial 16S ribosomal RNA". It matches the Rfam family "Archaeal small subunit ribosomal RNA", at positions 322 to 746 of the family's 1478-position model. The record is from RNAcentral.
CCUACGGGAGCACCAGGCGAGAAAACUUUGCAAUGUGCGAAAGCACGACAAGGUUAAUCCGAGUGGUUUCUGCUAAAGGAACCUUUUGACAGUCCUAGAAACACUGUUGAAUAAGGGGUGGGCAAGUUCUGGUGUCAGCCGCCGCGGUAAAACCGGCACCUCAAGUGGUCAGGAUGAUUAUUGGGCCUAAAGCAUCCGUAGCCGGCUCUGUAAGUUUUCGGUUAAAUCUGUACGCUCAACGUACAGGCUGCCGGGAAUACUGCAGAGCUAGGGAGUGGGAGAGGUAGACGGUACUCGGUAGGAAGGGGUAAAAUCCUUUGAUCUAUUGAUGACCACCUGUGGCGAAGGCGGUCUACCAGAACACGUCCGACGGUGAGGGAUGAAAGCUGGGGGAGCAAACCGGAUUAGAUACCCGCGUAGUC